ACUUUCCCUUUUGCGCCGCGCUCUGUCUUCUCCGCGCUCGCGGGCCUGACCCUAGCGGCAUCCCCAGUACCUUGAUCCGGCGGGGGGCGCGCCACAGGAGAGCCAGGAGGGCGGGAGAUCCCCAAAGAAGAGCUCAGAGGAGUGAGGCAACACCAACACCAGGGCGUACGAUACACCCGAGGCUCCUCCGACACCAGUUCCAGCCCGGAAGGGCUUGGAAUGGCCUGCCACGCCGGGGCAAUGGAGCGCGUGAAAGCCAAACCUUGGGACCCGAAGAGUAAUUUGACUGCGAAGGCACCGUCAUCGUCGGGCACCCCCUGUAGACGGGCGCAUAAUAGCUACAUCUCUGGAGAUAGUGAUGGAAACUGGGGUCCGAUAGAUGGAGAGAAGGACGUAGGAUAAGGCUUCUUGUGGGGUGAAGAGGCAGAGGGCACCUGGAGAGAGGUGUGGCAUGGAGAACCAGGGGUUUUCCCUAGCAGAGGGCGGCUUCGUGGACUUCGGCCAACCGGCGGGUGCUUCCCUCGAGCGGCCGCUAGAUGGUGGUGCUGUUCUGGAUGCUUCCAGUGGGCCCCGACCAGGUCUGGACAAUGCCUGGCGCCCGUCCCCCGCCCCUCAUCUACACACACGCAAGAAUUCGGAGCUCCAUGGGGAACAGAAGCAAGAUAUCCGUAAAAUCAAAGU
This 681-nucleotide long non-coding RNA is filed under the name Homo sapiens (human). RNAcentral describes it as "HSALNT0388322". Lineage: Eukaryota; Metazoa; Chordata; Mammalia; Primates; Hominidae. The record is from RNAcentral.